Molecule: non-coding RNA, 45 nt
Filed under: Trichobilharzia regenti
Lineage: Eukaryota; Metazoa; Platyhelminthes; Trematoda; Strigeidida; Schistosomatidae
Source: RNAcentral
AUCCAGAUGACGAGCCCCAAAUAAGAGGAAAUACGUGUUCUGGAU